UUUGUUUUAUAAAUUUAGCCACUAUUAUGCCAAGUGCAACAACAACUUAAUACUAAAGUACAAAGCAAAAGCUGAAAAUAGAAACAGGUUUUGAUCACACUAGCUAGUUCAAGGGUUUGACUAAUAAAGACAGUAUCACCACCGUCGGAAUGAGGAAUUCUCCGGCAAUUUCCACGGCGGAAUCCGGCAACGGAGGUGGAAUUAGAUGGUUUUCCGGCAUGGUACGCGCCGGGAAGAAGGCAUACAUGGAUAAUCAGAAGCUGAGGGAGGUUGAGAAGGCUGAGAAAGUCAUGCAUCUUAUCUGUUGGGGACCCAAAUAGUUCAUUUCUUAAUUACUGACCUCAGUAAGUAGUGCUUAUGUUCGAAUCUUGAGAAUAAAGAAUGUUUUCAGAUGAAAGCGGUUUUCUCUUUAGUGAGUUUAUAUAUUAACAAUGAAAUCUGAGUUAAUCGAAUUAAUGACUUCAAUUAUCGAAUGGUUAAUUAAAAAAAAAUAUUGUGUUUAUAACUUUUUCCUUUUUCCCCCUUUUUGGGGUUUGUUUUGCCCUUUUUUCCUGUCUUAUUGUCAUCUCCUUUUUUUUUUUUUUUUUUUUCUUUAGUUUAGUAUUGCCUAUUGUUGGGACCUGUCUUAUUGUCAUCUCUUUUUUUUUUUUUUUUUUUGCUUUAGUUUAGUAUGGCCUAAUGUUGGGAAUUGGGAUCGAACUGGGUCGGUUGUUGUUACUUGUUAGUAUGGCCUAAUGGGAGUGUCGAAAUUAUUAGUAUGUAAUUUGCUCUCAAGGAGAGUUUGUAAUUAAUAUAUUAAAUGUUGUUAAAAAUAUGUUUUGGUGGGGAUGUUUCGUCUAAAUUUUCCAAAUUGAACCAAUAUGUGCUAUUAUCAGAAAUAAAAAAUGGAAAUCAAUCUAGCAUAUUAGUAGUAAAUUUAUAACUUCACUUUAGACGAUUUCGACUUGAUUUGAGUUAUUAGUUCUGUGGUUUUACAUCUUAAUUAG
Molecule: long non-coding RNA, 986 nt
Filed under: Nicotiana benthamiana
Lineage: Eukaryota; Viridiplantae; Streptophyta; Magnoliopsida; Solanales; Solanaceae
Description: long non-coding RNA (NBEN_LNC006741)
Source: RNAcentral